UUUCCCCCUUCUUUUUCCCCUGAAAUCUUUUUCUUUUUUCCCCAUUUUUUUUUUCCCAAACCAUUUCUCCUUUAUUUUUUUGCCCCCAAUUUCCCCAAAUCGACAGCCCUCUGCAUUUCCGUUGUCCCGCCCAUUUUCGCAACCUCGACUUCGGUGAAUGAAACGACUACCUCAAAGGCGUCAUCACCGAUGUUAUCCAUGACCCAGGCCGCGGUGCGCCCUUAGCUCGCGUCGUGUUCCGUCGCCCAUUCCGUUACAAGAAGCAGAAUGAACUGUUCGUCGCCGCUGAGGCAUGUUGAAGUUCCGAUCCCAACUCCAAAUAAAGACUGGUCAAGCUAUGGCAAGUGCUCUCAAUGUUGUACAAACAUCUCAUUCGUAUGGGGAUUUAAUGCUUCUAAUGAAACAUGCUGAACUGCAACAAGUGUGUGCUUCUCUUGGUGGUUUUUUUUACUACGUUUUUAAGUGAUAAAACUUAUGUUAACUUUGUGAGGAAUCGGGUCUCGUAACACGUGAUUCAUCUGAAUAUCUAUUUGUUUUAGUGUUAAUAAUUCUUUUAACAUUUUAACUUAUCAUAGAUGCUAUGUUUUGAUUUAGCAUUCUUGUUUAUCAUGUAAAGAAAUUGUCUGGAAUUUUAAUAGCAAAAAUUGGAAUUUUUUUUAUUGUUGUCUAUGUUUUACUUGUGAAUUGUGAUUGCAAUGGUUUACCUUCCUUUGGUGUAAAAUCUACUUGGCCAAUUGGAAUGUUCAAUGAUUUAUUUAGCCCUUGUACUCAGCAAUAUUACUUCUAAUUGUACUGCAACACAUCUAUAUGCCCAUUUCUUACCUGUAAUCAUGUUGCAUAUGCUUUGGCUUUUUAAAUCGUGAAUCAUGAUUAAUGAAAAUGAGAUGGAUAGCUGAUGCCUUUCCUGAUUUUCAGGUUUGACAAGGAACUGAACAAGUAAGUUGCUAUUAAAGUUAUUGAUUUAGAAGAAUCGUAAGUGGAUACCUUUGUUAUAUUUUCCUUGAUUUAUUCCUCAUUAAAGUGUCUUGUAGCAGGUGCUUGCUAUGAGCAGCAAAGUAUGAAUGAAUGUGAUUGUCAACUUUACAAAUAUACAUAGUAAAGUUUAAAGUAUGAAUCGAAUUGCUAUGAGCAGCAAAUUUAGCGAUAAAACAAAGUCACACCAACUUGCUAUGAGCAGCAAAGAAAAUUUUUUUAAUUGCAGAAAACCAACUUCCCUUCUUUCCCAUACUGCCAGAAAAUUUAGGGACCGCACGACUUGUGGUUGAUUUCGAUAGGUGGUGGACUGGUGAGGAAUCUGUGAAUGUUCUCUUAGAAGCCGCAGGCCAAGACAACCGUAUUUUCUUUUUCUAUUUCCCACACUUGGGUAUGAUAAUGGUAGCAUUGGAGUUGAGGUUCUCACACCGAAAAAGGAACACAUGCCCUAUGCCCUAUUUUCAUUUAAGGACCGUCAAGGAAAUUCUGAAACUGAAAGCUGAUUGAUCGGAUGUGUAUGCCGGCUUUCAUCAACUACUUUCGAAGGCCUUACUAGGAAUUGAAGUGGUGUGCAAAGAGAUUGCUUCUUCCGAUCUGAUUUUUCGAUAUAAAUACUGGACAAAGUAUGGAUAUUUUACUGCUGUUAGUAAAAUAGGAUUCUCUUCUUAGGAUCUUAGUUUCUUCACUUGUAUUAGACUCAACAAUGGCUUGAAUUGCAUUGGUGUUGAUUUUACCAAAAUUUCGAGGUUUAUAAUUUUUAAUUUUUAUUAA
This is an RNA transcript of Gossypium raimondii (Peruvian cotton), 1743 nucleotides long. RefSeq lists it as uncharacterized. The record is from RefSeq and is a predicted model, not a curated record. The transcript has 5 exons. Lineage: Eukaryota; Viridiplantae; Streptophyta; Magnoliopsida; Malvales; Malvaceae.